RNAcentral lists this long non-coding RNA (1476 nucleotides) under Sus scrofa (pig). RNAcentral describes it as "lncRNA (ENSSSCG00025009109.1)". The record is from RNAcentral. Lineage: Eukaryota; Metazoa; Chordata; Mammalia; Artiodactyla; Suidae.
UUUUUUUAUUUUUAUUUUUUGCUUUUUUAGGGCUGCACCCAUGGCACAUGGAGGUUCCCAGGCUAGAGGUCGAAUGGGAGCUGUAGCCAACGGCCGUCACCACAGCCACAGCAACAACAGAUCUGAGCAGUGUCUGUGACCUACGCCACAACUCGUGGCCACGCCAGAUCCUUAACCCACUGAGCAAGGCCAGGGAUUGAACCUGCAUCCUCAUGGAUGCUAGUCAGAUUCGUUAACCACUGAGCCAUGAUGGGAACUCCUGUUCGUUUUUUGUUUUUUAAUAGAGCCAUUCCAGACAAUAAAUUCAAGAGGAAAUGAAAGUAUUAUAAGUCACUAUUUUUGCAACUCCUAAUGAUGUAUGUAAACAAUGAUAUCAAUGGCCACUAAGACCAUGAGGAGAGAGGUUCAUGGGGGAAAUUCACAAUGGAUGAAAUAGACGGAUGCCCCCUGAACUCACUGGUCAAUCUUAAUGAGAGAGAGAGACGGAACCAAUCAGAUGUUAUGUUGUUAUGUGUCUUACAGACAUACACAGAGAGAAAACCAACUGGAUGCUAUGUGUCAUCCAGUGGGGCUCACACCACCUAGGAUGCCAUGUUUCUGGGUAGAUCAAUGACAGGGGAGAGGGGAGCUCACUCAUCCACACCUGGGAAGCAACCUGCCCGGUUAGGAGGCUGAGAAACCCUACCAGACAAAUGACCUGGUUUCUUCAUCACAUAAGCAGCAAAGAAAAAAAAAAAAGGCUGGGUGAUUGAUGGCUUUAGAUGAAAAGAGUCAUAAGAGAUACAGCAACCAAAUGCCAAGUGUGGACUUUGUUGGGGUCCUGACUCAGAUGAACCAACUGUGAAACAAAAACAUCUGACAUUUCAUUACCAGUGAUGAGAUUUUUUGUUUUGUUUUAUUUUUUGUUUUUUGUCUUUUUGCUAUUUCUUGGGCCGCUCCCACAGCAUAUGGAGGUUCCCAGGCUAGGGGUCCAAUCGGAGAUGUAGCUGCCAGCCUACGCCAGAGCCACAGCAACAUGGGAUCCGAGCUGCCUCCAUAUGCCGAAGAAGCAGCCCUAGAAAUGGCAAAAAGAAAGAAAAAAAAAAAAAAAAAAAAAAAAAAGGUGCCUAACUCAGACAGGGGACCAAGUCAACACCAAGAGUGGUUAAGUCAUGUUGAUGGCAUGUACUUUUUUUUUUUUUUUUUUUUUUUUUUUUUUUCUGUCUUUUUGCCAUUUCUAGGGCUGCUUCUUCGGCAUAUGGAGCUUCCCCUGCUAGGGGUUUAAUCGGAGCUGUGGGAUCCGAGCUGCGUCUGCGACCUACACCACAGCUCAUGGCAAUGCUGGAGACUUAACCCACUGAGCGAGGCCAGGGAUUGAACCCACAACCUCAUGGCUCCCAGUCGGAUUCGUUAACCACUGAGCCACGAUGGGAACUCCGAUGGCAUGUACUCUUGAUACGAUGGGACGAAACCUCUUCUCCCCUGUGCUCUUCCUCC